This 878-nucleotide ribosomal RNA is filed under the name uncultured bacterium. RNAcentral's name for it is "bacterial SSU rRNA". It matches the Rfam family "Bacterial small subunit ribosomal RNA", at positions 617 to 1504 of the family's 1533-position model. The record is from RNAcentral.
AAAAGUGCCAUCGAUACUGGUUUUCUUGAGUGUGGAUGAAGUAGGCGGAAUUUGUGGUGUAGCGGUGAAAUGCAUAGAUAUCACGAGGAACUCCGAUUGCGCAGGCAGCUUACUAGGCCAUAACUGACGCUCAGGCACGAAGGCGUGGGGAUCAAACAGGAUUAGAUACCCUGGUAGUCCACGCAGUAAACGAUGAUUACUCGCUGUUUGCGAUACACAGUAAGCGGCUUAGCGAAAGCGUUAAGUAAUCCACCUGGGGAGUACGUUCGCAAGAAUGAAACUCAAAGGAAUUGACGGGGGCCCGCACAAGCGGAGGAACAUGUGGUUUAAUUCGAUGAUACGCGAGGAACCUUACCCGGGCUUGAAAUGCAUCUGACAGGAGCAGAGACGCUCUCUCCCUUCGGGGCAGAUGUGUAGGUGCUGCAUGGUUGUCGUCAGCUCGUGCCGUGAGGUGUCGGCUUAAGUGCCAUAACGAGCGCAACCCUCAUCAUUAGUUACCAUCAGGUUAAGCUGGGGACUCUAAUGAGACUGCCAUCGUAAGAUGUGAGGAAGGUGGGGAUGACGUCAAAUCAGCACGGCCCUUACGUCCGGGGCGACACACGUGUUACAAUGGAUGGUACAAAGGGCAGCUACAUGGCGACAUGAUGCUAAUCUCCAAAACCAUUCUCAGUUCGGAUCGAAGUCUGCAACUCGACUUCGUGAAGCUGGAUUCGCUAGUAAUCGCGCAUCAGCCACGGCGCGGUGAAUACGUUCCCGGGCCUUGUACACACCGCCCGUCAAGCCAUGGAAGCCGGGGGUACCUGAAGUUCGUAACCGUCAAAGGAGCGACCUAGGGUAAAACUGGUGAGCUGGGGCUAAGUCGUAACAAGGUAACCGUA